This 231-nucleotide small RNA is filed under the name human gut metagenome. RNAcentral's name for it is "RT-2 RNA". It matches the Rfam family "RT-2 RNA". Rfam says of the family: Coriobacteriales (Actinobacteria), Clostridiales (Firmicutes). Downstream gene The record is from RNAcentral.
CGGUCAAAUGGAGUAGCAGAAAACCGGCUUUUGGAUUUCAGGUGAAAGACGACCGAUGUAAAAGGAGUUGCACUUCCUUGGGUGAAAAUCCCUAAAACUGCCCUUUGAUGCCCUUACACGGACGCUUCUUGCAUGGUGGGGUAUGUGUCUAACCCAUUUCAUGUGUCGGGGCAAAGCAGAUUAGAUGGCACCCUACAAAAUAUCUGUACGAAAGGCGAAUACUUUUUUAUU